RNAcentral lists this ribosomal RNA (443 nucleotides) under uncultured bacterium. RNAcentral's name for it is "partial 16S ribosomal RNA". It matches the Rfam family "Bacterial small subunit ribosomal RNA", at positions 338 to 795 of the family's 1533-position model. The record is from RNAcentral.
CCUACGGGAGGCAGCAGUGGGGAAUAUUGGGCAAUGGGCGCAAGCCUGACCCAGCAACGCCGCGUGAAGGAAGAAGGCUUUCGGGUUGUAAACUUCUUUUCUCAGGGACGAAGAAAGUGACGGUACCUGAGGAAUAAGCCACGGCUAACUACGUGCCAGUAGCCGCGGUAAUACGUAGGUGGCAAGCGUUAUCCGGAUUUACUGGGUGUAAAGGGCGUGUAGGCGGGGAAGCCAGUCAGAUGUGAAAACCACGGGCUCAACCUGUGGCCUGCAUUUGAAACUGUUUUUCUUGAGUACUGGGGGGGCAGACGGGAUUCCUAGUGUAGCGGUGGAAUGCGUAGAUAUUAGGAGGGACACCAGGGGCGGAGGCGGGCUGCUGGACAGCAACUGACGCUGGGGCGCGAAAGCGUGGGGAGCAAACAGGAUUAGGUACCCCUGUAGUC